ACGUAGGGGGCAAGCGUUAUCCGGAUUUACUGGGUGUAAAGGGAGCGUAGACGGCAAGGCAAGUCUGAUGUGAAAACCCAGGGCUUAACCCUGGGACUGCAUUGGAAACUGUCUGACUCGAGUGCCGGAGAGGUAAGCGGAAUUCCUAGUGUAGCGGUGAAAUGCGUAGAUAUUAGGAAGAACACCAGUGGCGAAGGCGGCUUACUGGACGGUAACUGACGUUGAGGCUCGAAAGCGUGGGGAGCAAACAG
This 251-nucleotide ribosomal RNA is filed under the name uncultured bacterium. RNAcentral describes it as "partial 16S ribosomal RNA". It matches the Rfam family "Bacterial small subunit ribosomal RNA", at positions 525 to 775 of the family's 1533-position model. The record is from RNAcentral.